AGCGAACGCUGGCGGCAGGCCUAACACAUGCAAGUCGAACGAACCUUUCGGGGUUAGUGGCGGACGGGUGAGUAACACGUGGGAACGUGCCUUUAGGUUCGGAAUAACUCAGGGAAACUUGUGCUAAUACCGAAUGUGCCCUUCGGGGGAAAGAUUAAUCGCCUUUAGAGCGGCCCGCGUCUGAUUAGCUAGUUGGUUGAGGUAAUGGCUCACCAAGGCGACGAUCGGUAGCUGGUCUGAGAGGAUGAUCAGCCACAUUGGGACUGAGACACGGCCCAAACUCCUACGGGAGGCAGCAGUGGGGAAUCUUGCGCAAUGGGCGAAAGCCUGACGCAGCCAUGCCGCGUGAAUGAUGAAGGUCUUAGGAUUGUAAAAUUCUUUCACCGGGGACGAUAAUGACGGUACCCGGAGAAGAAGCCCCGGCUAACUUCGUG
This 434-nucleotide ribosomal RNA is filed under the name uncultured bacterium. RNAcentral's name for it is "partial 16S ribosomal RNA". It matches the Rfam family "Bacterial small subunit ribosomal RNA", at positions 29 to 507 of the family's 1533-position model. The record is from RNAcentral.